UCGUAACAAGGUCUCCGUUGGUGAACCAGCGGAGGGAUCAUUACCGAGUUUACAACUCCCAAACCCCUGUGAACAUACCAAUUGUUGCCUCGGCGGAUCAGCCCGCUCCCGGUAAAACGGGACGGCCCGCCAGAGGACCCCUAAACUCUGUUUCUAUAUGUAACUUCUGAGUAAAACCAUAAAUAAAUCAAAACUUUCAACAACGGAUCUCUUGGUUCUGGCAUCGAUGAAGAACGCAGCAAAAUGCGAUAAGUAAUGUGAAUUGCAGAAUUCAGUGAAUCAUCGAAUCUUUGAACGCACAUUGCGCCCGCCAGUAUUCUGGCGGGCAUGCCUGUUCGAGCGUCAUUUCAACCCUCAAGCCCCUCGGGUUUGGUGUUGGGGAUCGGCGAGCCCUUGCGGCAAGCCGGCCCCGAAAUAUAGUGGCGGUCUCGCUGCAGCUUCCAUUGCGUAGUAGUAAAACCCUCGCAACUGGUACGCGGCGCGGCCAAGCCGUUAAACCCCCAACUUCUGAAUGUUGACCUCGGAUCAGGUAGGAAUACCCGCUGAACCUAAGCAUAUCA
Molecule: unclassified non-coding RNA, 560 nt
Filed under: Fusarium mundagurra
Lineage: Eukaryota; Fungi; Ascomycota; Sordariomycetes; Hypocreales; Nectriaceae
Description: sequence contains 18S rRNA gene, ITS1, 5.8S rRNA gene, ITS2, 28S rRNA gene
Rfam family: 5.8S ribosomal RNA (bases 192-345)
Source: RNAcentral